Triticum aestivum (bread wheat) is the source of this 115-nucleotide non-coding RNA. NCBI's taxonomy places the organism in Eukaryota, Viridiplantae, Streptophyta, Magnoliopsida, Poales, Poaceae. The record is from Rfam.
UACGUACUCCCUCCGCUCGAAAAAGCUUGUCUUUCAAAUGAAUGUAUCUAGCACUGACUUGGUGGUAGAUACAUUCAUUUAAGGGACAAGCUUUUUCGAACGGAGGGAGUACCAU